This 468-nucleotide ribosomal RNA is filed under the name uncultured bacterium. Its description in RNAcentral is "partial 16S ribosomal RNA". It matches the Rfam family "Bacterial small subunit ribosomal RNA", at positions 28 to 507 of the family's 1533-position model. The record is from RNAcentral.
GACGAACGCUGGCGGCGUGCUUAACACAUGCAAGUCGAACGGAAAGACCCUGCUUUUGUGGGGUGCUCGAGUGGCGAACGGGUGAGUAACACGUGAGUAACCUGCCCUUGACUUUGGGAUAACUUCAGGAAACUGGGGCUAAUACCGGAUAGGAGCUCCUGCUGCAUGGUGGGGGUUGGAAAGGUUCGGCGGUUGGGGAUGGACUCGCGGCUUAUCAGCUUGUUGGUGGGGUAGUGGCCUACCAAGGCUUUGACGGGUAGCCGGCCUGAGAGGGUGACCGGCGACAUUGGGACUGAGAUACGGCCCAGACUCCUACGGGAGGCAGCAGUGGGGAAUAUUGCACAAUGGGCGGAAGCCUGAUGCAGCAACGCCGCGUGCGGGAUGACGGCCUUCGGGUUGUAAACCGCUUUCGCCUGUGACGAAGCGUGAGUGACGGUAAUGGGUAAGGAAGCACCGGCUAACUACGUG